Molecule: unclassified non-coding RNA, 253 nt
Filed under: uncultured Alphaproteobacteria bacterium
Lineage: Bacteria; Pseudomonadati; Pseudomonadota; Alphaproteobacteria
Description: contains 16S-23S intergenic spacer region
Rfam family: Bacterial small subunit ribosomal RNA
Source: RNAcentral
UACGGAGGGGGCUAGCGUUGUUCGGAAUUACUGGGCGUAAAGCGCACGUAGGCGGAUCUGUAAGUUAGGGGUGAAAGCCCGAGGCUCAACCUCGGAAUUGCCUCUGAUACUGCAGGUCUCGAGUCCGGAAGAGGUGAGUGGAAUUCCUAGUGUAGAGGUGAAAUUCGUAGAUAUUAGGAAGAACACCAGUGGCGAAGGCGGCUCACUGGUCCGGUACUGACGCUGAGGUGCGAAAGCGUGGGGAGCAAACAGG